AACAAAACAAAAUACGGUUAUAUUAUAUGUUCUCCUUCACCGCCAUUUUCUUAUUUCCUCUUCCUACACAGUUACCUUCUCUCAUUCUUUUCCUUCUUCAUUUUACAUCUUUAAUCUAUAUCUUCUAUAAUUAGUUUUGUGAUCUUAUUAGUAUAAUACUUCACAUCUUCAAAGAGGCUAGAAAAAGUUUCUAAACUUUUGAUCUUGGUGCGUUUGGGGCUACUUCAAGAGACGAUUAUUCCCUAACUUUGAUAGUUUUUAAUCAUCUUUGGUGUGGGUUUAUCGAAUCGACAUUAUCCGAACCGAAGUUGCGCCCGAUCUGAUUUACGACCGAAAUCUUAAAAUCGAACCCGAAUUGCGACCGAUUUUAUAAUCGACAUAUAACCAUUUAACCGAGAUUACCCGAAUUUAAUAGUGACCGACCCGAAUCAUGCUCAAAACCGAACUUGAUCCGGCUAAAUCCACUUUAUCCAAACAAAUUUUUAAUCGAAAUGCUGUAAACUUGAACGAAUUUUAAUAUAGAGCACAGGUGCAUAGGGAUGACAAUUCAGUUCGAAUUCGACCCUAAUCCGACACUUGCGAGGAAAAUAAUCUGAUUCGAGUCCGAGGAAAAAGUUAUCCGACUCCGACUUUACGAUCCAAGUCCAAGUUAGAGACGGAUCGGAGUUGGACCUUAUUAAAAAUCCGACACUCCGACCUUGAAGGAAAUUCUACUUGAGUUUGACUUUUACCUUAAUGUUUUGUUUCCUUUAAAACUCUAGACAUGACUAAUCCAAGCUCUCUUUCAUAGUAGUUGUAGUUUUCGAUUUUGAAAAACUACUUGGUAUUUUUAUUUAGAUUAAUCAAUCAAAAUAAGACAAAUCAAAUCAAGAGAAAUUAAAUACGCUAAAUUAAAAAGCGAGAAAAUUUUGUUAAAUUGUAGUAGUAGAACUAUUUCUCUUGUUAAACUUGAAUUCAAAGUACAUAUAUUUUUGUUAAAUUGUAUUUGAAAAAUAUUUUUUGUUAAUUUUAUAUGCUUUAAAAUCAUUACUACAAUUUCACAACGAUAAAGUUUGA
Molecule: long non-coding RNA, 1056 nt
Organism: Amaranthus tricolor (Joseph's coat)
Lineage: Eukaryota; Viridiplantae; Streptophyta; Magnoliopsida; Caryophyllales; Amaranthaceae
Exons: 3
Source: RefSeq, a predicted model, not a curated record